Molecule: ribosomal RNA, 465 nt
Filed under: Vreelandella stevensii
Lineage: Bacteria; Pseudomonadati; Pseudomonadota; Gammaproteobacteria; Oceanospirillales; Halomonadaceae
Description: partial 16S ribosomal RNA
Rfam family: Bacterial small subunit ribosomal RNA
Source: RNAcentral
CCUACGGGUGGCUGCAGUGGGGAAUAUUGGACAAUGGGCGAAAGCCUGAUCCAGCCAUGCCGCGUGUGUGAAGAAGGCCUUCGGGUUGUAAAGCACUUUCAGUGGGGAAGAAAGCCUUGGGGCUAAUACCCUCGAGGAAGGACAUCACCCACAGAAGAAGCACCGGCUAACUCCGUUCCAGCAGCCGCGGUAAUACGGAGGGUGCGAGCGUUAAUCGGAAUUACUGGGCGUAAAGCGCGCGUAGGCGGUCUGAUAAGCCGGUUGUGAAAGCCCCGGGCUCAACCUGGGAACGGCAUCCGGAACUGUCAGGCUAGAGUGCAGGAGAGGAAGGUAGAAUUCCCGGUGUAGCAGUGAAAUGCGUAGAGAUCGGGAGGAAUACCAGUGGCGAAGGCGGCCUUCUGGACUGACACUGACGCUGAGGUGCGAAAGCGUGGGUAGCAAACAGGAUUAGAUACCCCGGUAGUC